Suricata suricatta (meerkat) is the source of this 293-nucleotide long non-coding RNA. RefSeq lists it as uncharacterized. The transcript is spliced from 3 exons. NCBI's taxonomy places the organism in Eukaryota, Metazoa, Chordata, Mammalia, Carnivora, Herpestidae. The record is from RefSeq and is a predicted model, not a curated record.
UGCCGGAGUGCGGGUGUCCAAGGGUUGGCUCUGCAAGGAGCACAGGGUCGGGCAGGGUGAACCCUGUGGGAUAACAGUUUCGAACUGGAUCCAAAAGUGGAACUGGAUGCGACUUUGGACAUGCAUGUCAUGGUCAAGAAGUAGGGCAAAUUGCCAAAGGAUCUCAGGAGAAGAAAAUCAACAUUCAGGGAGUGAGAAUGAACAUUUGGGGAGAACCUAGUUCCUGUCACGUGUCUUACACUCACAGUCUGAGAGCCCGCUUUGGGAUUUUACAGAAAGUCCGGCAAGAGGAC